Molecule: transfer RNA, 71 nt
Filed under: Candidatus Woesebacteria bacterium
Lineage: Bacteria; Candidatus Woeseibacteriota
Description: tRNA-Trp
Rfam family: tRNA
About the family: Transfer RNA (tRNA) molecules are approximately 80 nucleotides in length.
Source: RNAcentral
AGGGGUAUGAUGCAAUGGUAGCAUGAAGCUCUCCAAAAGCUUUCAUCUAGGUUCGAGCCCUAGUACCCCUG